Brassica napus (rape) is the source of this 3551-nucleotide long non-coding RNA. RefSeq lists it as uncharacterized. The record is from RefSeq and is a predicted model, not a curated record. The transcript has 3 exons. Lineage: Eukaryota; Viridiplantae; Streptophyta; Magnoliopsida; Brassicales; Brassicaceae.
GGACGCCACGUCAUAAAUUGGGCUCUCCUGUGCGCGACAUGUGUCCUCUGCACUGCGUUUCAUUAAAGUGUUUUCAUAUUGUUUCGGGCUUGGUGGUGCGCUUCAUCUGUGGCCCAUCGACCACAAGCUUUAAUUAUGUCUUCUAUUGUUCUCCUUCUCAGCCGUAGGAGGUUUUGUGUUUCCAUGGAAACUGAUCAUUCUUCCUCCUGAUCCAUCAAUCAACAGGAGCCGUAGCGAAUCUAGAGUUUCCAGCAAACUAUUCAUCUUCUUCCUACUGAUCAAGUAAUCAAUCGGUUACGAAAUCAUUGCUAUUAAAUUCUCUCUUUAAAUCAAUCUACACGAUCUCUCUUCAAUGCUACUUUAGCUCUUCAAAGGCAGUGGUGGUUCGACUAUAAAAAAGGUUCAACCCACUCUUUCUUCUCCGCCAUUCAGCUACUGCUUACUGAGCACAGAAAAAUUGAUGACUUCCCAGAUCCAGAAGCAAUACGCUAGACGUCAUGUCUCAAUAUGAGGUUAAUUUACUUCUGGGAGAGUGAAUCAAUCAUCUUUUUGAGCGAUCUCCAACAGAAGAUUUUGUUGGUAUUUUUUUAAUGAAAAAUACCGAUGGUACAUUAGUAACAACUAAUGCUGGGAUGGACAUUGCAUUCCGUCGGAAGAGGAGAAAACCGACAAGUAUUGGCGACGUCGACACCAGAUAUUAAGGCAACAACCAUCAGAUUCAACCUUUGAUUUACAGCAAAAACAGUGUUCGAGUGGCUUCACCUCUUUACCUUCUCUUAUUGCUACCAUCGUGUUUGCUUUCCUUGACAUUACCUCUUUAGCUGGACUACCUGGUAAGCAAUUCAGGCCAACAAAAACAACUGCUUAAGUUUUACGCUCAACUUGAGCUUCACAUUUCAUCGGACAACGUGUGCUUCUGUUUACGAUUUUUAUAUUGCCAUUAACUGUUGAUCCAAAAAACAAAUCUAAAGGCCUACAUGAUUUUAUGUAUGUAGAUAAUUAGAAGAGCUUAGUGCUGCAAGCGGUCAAAUUAUUAUGUUAUCAUUGUAUUUUAAGAUCACAAGAUUCCGUAGCUAACUUGCCACUUCAACUAUACAAGGUAACAGAAAUUCUUUGAACCUCAUAGUAAAAGCUACAUCUAUGGUCACUUUAAUGGGUAUGCCUUUUCUGCAUAUCAGUGGUCCAUUUUUGAAGUGCAAAAAGUGGUACUUGGAAAACAAGUAAGUUAAAAAAUUUCUUUAAUUCUGGAUCUUUUCCUCUUCAAGAAAGAUGUAAGAUGGCUUUUCUUAUUUCCAGAUAGACUACUCUUCGUAGCCCUGUUUGUAACCUCAGUACAUGUGAUGGUGAGAUAUGCUUAUUCAAAUUUUAGAAUUGAUGUUAGUCUUUUAGUCCUUCCAAUAAAAAGAUCGCAGAUUAAAAUAUUUGUUUCUUUUGUAGGAAUAAUUCAUACACUAACGUUAGGAACAUUUGGUAUUUUAAAUGAAAGCUGUAAAAUGGAAGAUGAGAUUCUAUCUUACUGGAUUUCAUAAGUUUCACAGAGACGAGAGUAUAGCUUCUUUCUUUUGUCAAACACAAGUUAUUUGUUUUUUCAUUAUUUUAGUUACAAAUGUGUUUCUAUGUGCUCUUUUGAUUUGUUGAAAAAGAGGUAGUAGAGAAGACGAAUUACACAAACACAUAACAUGGAUAUGUUGAUGAAUGUUUACGAAAAAUAUAACAUACAUGAUGAGUGACUGGCUAAAUCAAUAAUAGAUAGAUUAAAAGUUGUAUAGGAACAAAAGCAUUUUAGGUGACGCUGAAAAAUAUGCAUAAAAAGAAGGAAAUCUGCUACAUCUAUUUGUAUUCACACCUGGUCAAUUAUAUUUUGCAUUAUCAAGAGUAGUGAUUACGCAAAAACAAACCAAAUGUGCGACUAUCUUUGAAUAAACCAGCUAGGUAACAAAUUCUUUUGCUUAUGUUUGUGUUCCAUUUAUGAUUUAUUGCAGAUAUAGGAUUUAGUUUACAAGUCGGAAGCCCAUAAGAAAACACAUCUAAGUUAAUUAUAAAAUGUAACUAUGUAAGGUCAUAUUUUUCCCUCGCAGACGAUGCUUCUCGAAGCUCUAAUGAAUUAAUCUGAUGCUUCAAAAACUAUAACAAUAAUGCUUCUUUGAUGGUCUGUUUCUCUGUCUCGGUAGGCUUCUUCACCCAUUUUCUCUACCAUAUUUAAUUAGUAUCUUUACCACUCAAACGACUCAUAUCUUGUGGGUAAAUACUAUGAAAGCUUCGAUUGGAAUUUUGAGCAUAUUAGCAUUGGCACAUAUCGAUAAGAACUCGCUACAACCGAGUAAACUAACUAUGGCGGGUAUUUGUUUCUUAACUACCAAAAUUUAUGUCUUUAAAUACUAGACUUUGCGGAUGUAGAUUUGAGUAGGCUUAUUUUGGAGAUAAAUAGUGUGGAAAAUUAUUGUAGUUCAAGAGUUUCUGAAGUAUUUUGGUGGAAAACAUUUGCUACGAACCAGCUGGGAGACCAACUCCUCCCUAUUGCUCUUAGUCAGACCCUCAAACCAGCUCUUAUGCGGUUUGGUUCCAGUUCCAAGUUGAUAAGAAAGCGAAAAGGCUUUUACUUUCUCUUCCAAUGAAUUUUAUUUGCAGAAACUAAGAGUUUAUUCCGAGAACUCACUUUUUUUUUUCUAAUUAUAGCUGUCACACAAAAGUGGUUACAAUUAGUCAAACAAUAACAAACUACUUUAUUAUACCAUUUCCAAAUAUUGAGUUUUAUAAUAAAAUAGUGUUUAAAGCAUGUGUUAUAUUUCAAAUCAUUAGGAAAGACCAAUGUAUUAUUUUCACAUAAGAAACGAAAAUGGAGAUUAUUGCAAAUCAAGCCCAUCCUUUAGAGCUUGGACAAGAACUACCAACUUCAGCCAUUUAAGAUUAUAAUAUCAGGGAAAUACAACUGAAAAAUGCAACCAUCCUUCAGCUAAUAAGACGCCUAGCAUAUAUCAAAUGGAACUUGCCCAAGCUCCAACAACGCACUUUUUUGCAAGCAUAGCCGUAUCAUGGCUCCUGUAAUCAUAGGGUUUAUGGUGAAUAUAACAUUAACAGAUUUCUGAAAUUCAUCCCUCAUGGUUUCUGUUAUUCUAUUAGGUUAUAAUACUUAUUAACAAAUAAGUGUCAUAUACAUAGGCUAAAAUGAUAACACACCUUAAAGGAAUUAUUGGGCUGCACAGAGUUGUACAUAUACGUCAUGCAUCCUUUUUAUUAGGACAUUCAGUCAAUAAAAAAAACAGUGUGAAUCAUAUCAGUUAAAACCUGACCUUCUUUAUAACAAUAUAAUACAUAUUAUAGACAAUUUGUUUUUAAAUACACAGUGUAAGAGAAGUUACUUUAUUUAGAAAACUAUAUAAUAAAUAUCAUGAAAAUCAAACUCUUAAUAUAAUAUUUUAUACACAAACACUUAGUAUAAACACAACCAUUCUUAAUAACAAUAAACAUUAUUAAACACCACAAAUUCUAACAUAAAACCCAUCCAAUAAAAAUCUACAAUAAUAUAGUUCAUACAUCAUCACACGACAAUC